Molecule: unclassified non-coding RNA, 255 nt
Filed under: uncultured bacterium
Lineage: Bacteria
Description: contains 16S-23S intergenic spacer region
Source: RNAcentral
UCACCGCUUACACGGGCAGUUUCCCUAGGAAGCCCUAUCUCUAGGGAUGUCAGAGGCAUUCUAGCCCAGGUAAGGUUCUUCGCGUUGCGUCGAAUUAAACCACAUGCUCCACCGCUUGUGCGGGCCCCCGUCAAUUCCUUUGAGUUUCAGCCUUGCGGCCGUACUCCCCAGGCGGGGCACUUAUCGCGUUAGCUGCGGCACCGAAGGGGUCGCUCCCCCCGGCACCUAGUGCCCAUCGUUUACGGCGUGGACUAC